RNAcentral lists this ribosomal RNA (424 nucleotides) under uncultured bacterium. Its description in RNAcentral is "bacterial SSU rRNA". It matches the Rfam family "Bacterial small subunit ribosomal RNA", at positions 376 to 793 of the family's 1533-position model. The record is from RNAcentral.
CGCAAGCCUGAUGCAGCCAUGCCGCGUGUAUGAAGAAGGCCUUCGGGUUGUAAAGUACUUUCAGCAGUGAGGAAGGCGGAGUCGUUAAUAGCGGCCUCGUUUGACGUUAGCUGCAGAAGAAGCACCGGCUAACUCCGUGCCAGCAGCCGCGGUAAUACGGAGGGUGCGAGCGUUAAUCGGAAUUACUGGGCGUAAAGCGCAUGCAGGUGGUUUGUUAAGUCAGAUGUGAAAGCCCGGGGCUCAACCUCGGAAUUGCAUUUGAAACUGGCAGACUAGAGUACUGUAGAGGGGGUAGAAUUUCAGGUGUAGCGGUGAAAUGCGUAGAGAUCUGAAGGAAUACCGGUGGCGAAGGCGGCCCCCUGGACAGAUACUGACACUCAGAUGCGAAAGCGUGGGGAGCAAACAGGAUUAGAUACCCUGGUAA